RNAcentral lists this ribosomal RNA (279 nucleotides) under uncultured bacterium. RNAcentral describes it as "partial 16S ribosomal RNA". It matches the Rfam family "Bacterial small subunit ribosomal RNA", at positions 506 to 784 of the family's 1533-position model. The record is from RNAcentral.
UGCCAGCCGCCGCGGUAAUACGGAAGGUGCGAGCGUUAAUCGGAAUUACUGGGCGUAAAGCGCACGUAGGUGGCUUGGUAAGUCGGAUGUGAAAGCCCUGGGCUCAACCUGGGAUGGUCAUUUAGAACUGGCAGACUAGAGUCUUGGAGAGGGGAGUGGAAUUCCAGGCGUAGCGGUGAAAUGCGUAGAUAUCUGGAGGAACAUCAGUGGCGAAGGCGGCUCCCUGGCCAAAGACUGACGCUCAUGUGCGAAAGUGUGGGUAGCGAACAGGAUUAGAUA